Myotis brandtii (Brandt's bat) is the source of this 550-nucleotide long non-coding RNA. RefSeq lists it as uncharacterized. Lineage: Eukaryota; Metazoa; Chordata; Mammalia; Chiroptera; Vespertilionidae. The record is from RefSeq and is a predicted model, not a curated record. The transcript has 3 exons.
GCGACCCGGCCACUCCCUGGCUGGGCCCUGAGGGUACAGGGUGGAAGCAGAGAGAGGCCUUUGGGGGCUGUCCCAGGGCCAUGCUUUAUCGAUCUUUUCCCACCUGUUGGUGCUGAAUCCAUCUGCUCACUAGUGGGUGUGAAAAAAGACUGAGGCCAGAGUUGAGUCAGGGACCAAGGAAGCCACCAGAAAACUACAGAGUUCCCAGGACUAGUGCUUCGCCUCUGAGGCCGGCUGCCUGGUGGGGGAAACGCUGUCCGGUGCUAGCACGUAAGCCCUGAGUAAGCGGUGAGGACGCUGUGCGCGUCUGCUGUCCCUUACACGGCGCUUGGCCUCCUUCCCUUCUCAGCGUCACGUGACAGUGGGCCUCGUGGAAGGGGCCAGGGCGAGCCUUCCGUUACUUAUUGACCAUCACAGCUUUUUGGCCACAUCGGAUGUGCAAACAAAUGAAAACGAUCUGUGAGCAAAAGCCGACAGGUCCUCACCCUCCGGCUCCACGCACAGCUGGGAGCAGAACAGACACCGACUUCCCACGGAACUGAGCAGCUCA